UUUUGGAGGGCAAGUCUGGUGCCAGCAGCCGCGGUAAUUCCAGCUCCAAUAGCGUAUAUUAAAGUUGUUGCAGUUAAAAAGCUCGUAGUUGAAUUUCGGGAUCAGUAUGUUGGUCGUGCUUCGGUACGUACUGUCAUUACUGGUUUCUCCCUUCUGAAGAACCGUUGAUGUCAUUAAUUUGGUGUCUUGGGAAUCAGGACUUAUUGUUUUAAAAAAUUUAAGUGUUUUAAGCCGGCAA
Molecule: ribosomal RNA, 238 nt
Filed under: uncultured Glomus
Lineage: Eukaryota; Fungi; Glomeromycota; Glomeromycetes; Glomerales; Glomeraceae
Description: partial small subunit ribosomal RNA
Rfam family: Eukaryotic small subunit ribosomal RNA
Source: RNAcentral